This 425-nucleotide ribosomal RNA is filed under the name uncultured Nitrosomonas sp. RNAcentral describes it as "bacterial SSU rRNA". It matches the Rfam family "Bacterial small subunit ribosomal RNA", at positions 198 to 604 of the family's 1533-position model. The record is from RNAcentral. Lineage: Bacteria; Pseudomonadati; Pseudomonadota; Betaproteobacteria; Nitrosomonadales; Nitrosomonadaceae.
GGAGGAAAGCAGGGGAUCGAAAGACCUUGCGCUUUUGGAGCGGCCGAUGUCUGAUUAGCUAGUUGGUGGGGUAAUGGCCUACCAAGGCGACGAUCAGUAGUUGGUCUGAGAGGACGACCAGCCACACUGGGACUGAGACACGGCCCAGACUCCUACGGGAGGCAGCAGUGGGGAAUUUUGGACAAUGGGCGCAAGCCUGAUCCAGCAAUGCCGCGUGAGUGAAGAAGGCCUUCGGGUUGUAAAGCUCUUUCAGUCGAGAAGAAAAGGCUGCAGUGAAUAACUGUAGUUUAUGACGGUAUCGACAGAAGAAGCACCGGCUAACUACGUGCCAGCAGCCGCGGUAAUACGUAGGGUGCGAGCGUUAAUCGGAAUUACUGGGCGUAAAGGGUGCGCAGGCGGUUUUGUAAGUCAGAUGUGAAAUCCCC